CCUACGGGAGGCAGCAGUGAGGAAUAUUGGUCAAUGGACGAGAGUCUGAACCAGCCAAGUAGCGUGAAGGAUGACUGCCCUAUGGGUUGUAAACUUCUUUUAUAUGGGAAUAAAACGUUCCACGUGUGGGAUUUUGUAUGUACCAUAUGAAUAAGGAUCGGCUAACUCCGUGCCAGCAGCCGCGGUAAUACGGAGGAUCCGAGCGUUAUCCGGAUUUAUUGGGUUUAAAGGGAGCGUAGGUGGAUUGUUAAGUCAGUUGUGAAAGUUUGCGGCUCAACCGUAAAAUUGCAGUUGAAACUGGCAGUCUUGAGUACGGUAGAGGUGGGCGGAAUUCGUGGUGUAGCGGUGAAAUGCUUAGAUAUCACGAAGAACUCCGAUUGCGAAGGCAGUUCACUGGACUGCAACUGACACUGAGGCUCGAAGGUGUGGGUAUCAAACAGGAUUAGAUACCCUGGUAGUC
RNAcentral lists this ribosomal RNA (460 nucleotides) under uncultured bacterium. RNAcentral's name for it is "partial 16S ribosomal RNA". It matches the Rfam family "Bacterial small subunit ribosomal RNA", at positions 338 to 795 of the family's 1533-position model. The record is from RNAcentral.